CCGCAUGCUGUUAUUUUCCAAGU
RNAcentral lists this small nuclear RNA (23 nucleotides) under Arabidopsis thaliana (thale cress). RNAcentral's name for it is "snRNA_15002". Lineage: Eukaryota; Viridiplantae; Streptophyta; Magnoliopsida; Brassicales; Brassicaceae. The record is from RNAcentral.